RNAcentral lists this ribosomal RNA (486 nucleotides) under uncultured bacterium. RNAcentral's name for it is "bacterial SSU rRNA". It matches the Rfam family "Bacterial small subunit ribosomal RNA", at positions 29 to 524 of the family's 1533-position model. The record is from RNAcentral.
AACGAACGCUGGCGGCAUGCCUAACACAUGCAAGUCGAACGUGAUCCGGGGCUUGCUCCGGUGAAAGUGGCGGACGGGUGAGUAACGCGUGGGAACCUGCCCAUUGGUCGGGGAUAACUGCGGGAAACUGCAGCUAAUACCCGGUAAGCCCUACGGGGGAAAGAUUUAUCGCCAUUGGAGGGGCCCGCGUCGGAUUAGGUAGUUGGUGGGGUAAAGGCCUACCAAGCCUUCGAUCCGUAGCUGGUCUGAGAGGAUGAUCCGCCACACUGGAACUGAGACACGGUCCAGACUCCUACGGGAGGCAGCAGUGGGGAAUUUUGGACAAUGGGCGCAAGCCUGAUCCAGCCAUGCCGCGUGAGUGAAGAAGGCCUUCGGGUUGUAAAGGCUCUUUCGGUGGGGAAGAAAUUGCUUGGGUUAAUACCCUGAGUAGAUGACGGUACCCGCAUAAGAAGCACCGGCUAACUACGUGCCAGCAGCCGCGGUAAU